GACGAACGCUGGCGGCGUGCUUAACACAUGCAAGUCGAACGGAAAGGCCCUGCUUUUGUUGGUUUCUCGAUUGGCGAACGGGUGAGUAACACGUGAGUAACCUGUCCUUGUCUUUGUGGUAACUUCAGGAAACUGGGGCUAAUACCGCAUAUGAUCUCCUGCUGCAUGGUGUGGGUUGGUAAGUGUCGGCGUUUGUGGAUGUACUCGCUGCUUAUCAGCUUGUUGGUGGGGUAGUGGCUUACCAAGGCUUUGACGGGUAGCCGGCCUGAGAGGGUGACGGGCCACAUUGGGACUGCGAUACGGACCAGAAGCGUAUGGGAGGCAGCAGUGGGGAAUAUUGCAGAAUGGGCGGAAGCCUGAUGCAGCAACGCCGCGUGCGGGAUGCCGGGCUUCGGGUUGUAAACCGCUUUCGCCUGUGACGAAGCGUGAGUGACGGUAAUGGGUAAAGAAGCACCGGCUAACUACGUG
This 468-nucleotide ribosomal RNA is filed under the name uncultured bacterium. RNAcentral's name for it is "partial 16S ribosomal RNA". It matches the Rfam family "Bacterial small subunit ribosomal RNA", at positions 28 to 507 of the family's 1533-position model. The record is from RNAcentral.